AUUGAACGCUGGCGGCAGGCCUAACACAUGCAAGUCGAGCGAGCGGCGGACGGGUGAGUAAUGUAUGGGGAUCUGCCUGAGGGAGGGGGAUAACUACUGGAAACGGUAGCUAAUACCGCAUACCAUCAGAUGACCCCAUAUGGGAUUAGCUUGUAGGUGGGGAAACGGCUCACCUAGGAGACGAUCCCUAGCUGGUCUGAGAGGAUGAUCAGCACCACGGGGCCUGAGACACGGCCCCGACUCCUGCGGGAGGCAGCAGUGGGGAAGAUUGCACAAUGGGCGCAAGCCUGAUGAAGCCAUGCCGCGUGUAUGAAGAAGGCCGUCGGGUUGUAAAGUACUUUCAGUCGGGAGGCGUUACCGACAGAAGAAGCACCGGCUAACUCCGUGCCAGCAGCCGCGGUAAUAC
This 406-nucleotide ribosomal RNA is filed under the name uncultured bacterium. Its description in RNAcentral is "partial 16S ribosomal RNA". It matches the Rfam family "Bacterial small subunit ribosomal RNA", at positions 29 to 526 of the family's 1533-position model. The record is from RNAcentral.